Molecule: ribosomal RNA, 478 nt
Filed under: uncultured bacterium
Lineage: Bacteria
Description: partial 16S ribosomal RNA
Rfam family: Bacterial small subunit ribosomal RNA
Source: RNAcentral
GAUGAGCGCUGGCGGCGUGCUUAACACAUGCAAGUCGAACGAGAAAUGUAGACGGAAACCUUCGGGCGGAAGCCUUCAUUUCGAGUGGCGGACGGGUGAGUAACGCGUGGGUAACCUGCCUCAUACAGGGGGAUAACAGUUGGAAACGACUGUUAAUACCGCAUAAGACCACAGCAUCGCAUGAUGCGGGGGUAAAAACUCCGGUGGUAUGAGAUGGACCCGCGUUCGAUUAGCCAGUUGGCGGGGUAACGGCCCACCAAAGCGACGAUCGAUAGCCGAUCUGAGAGGAUGACCGGCCACAUUGGGACUGAGACACGGCCCAAACUCCUACGGGAGGCAGCAGUGGGGAAUAUUGCACAAUGGGGGAAACCCUGAUGCAGCGACGCCGCGUGAGUGAAGAAGUACUUCGGUAUGUAAAGCUCUAUCAGCAGGGAAGAAAAUGACGGUACCUGAGUAAGAAGCCCCGGCUAACUACGUG